Molecule: long non-coding RNA, 18576 nt
Filed under: Daucus carota (carrot)
Lineage: Eukaryota; Viridiplantae; Streptophyta; Magnoliopsida; Apiales; Apiaceae
Description: long non-coding RNA (DCAR_LNC003163)
Source: RNAcentral
GUAGUGACAGUGCCAGCAGAGUUUCCAGGGACAAGCUUGAGUUGCAUAUCGAAUCUUCCAAACAAGUACUCAUUCUUGGAUUGAAACCCUGAUCCAGAAGCUUGGUCGAGAGACAAAGUAAGGUCUCGACCAGCAUUGAGUAUCUUGGCGCGCUGAUCACCCCAAGUGAUUUCCGCGUCAUUGUAGAAAUCAGCAGCUGCCUGUGGAGCUUGGGUGGUCAUGAGAACUGAAAGUAACAGAAGCGAAGCGCUAACAUGCAGAUUGACAUGUUAUGAUGAGCAGUCGAAAUGAGAGAAUUAGUAUUCGCUGGGCUUGAAUGAAUCGAAAGUUAGAGAUUGGUAAUGAAAAAGAAGUAAAAUGUAUGUCGAGAGUGAUGGGUGAGGUAAGAAUGGGAAUGGGUAAUAUUUAUAGGUGGGAGUUGUUGUCAAUACCACACAAAAGGAAGCAUCCCAGACAGAGAAUGGAGUAUAUGUUGUUGACAGCUUGGAUUGUUGAGUUGACAACAUUUAGAAAAAGGAAAAUUAGGAGAGUAUUUAUGAAGGUUCUAGCAAUAGCAGAAAUCAGCAACGGGCAUCAUAGACGCACUACAUUGUUUGAUCGGGUACUGCAGUUGUUUUUACCAUUUUUUUGGUCAGUCGGGAAAGCUGUUCCUUUUAUUUUAUUUUUCUAAUGAAAAGAAGAGAAAAAUCAAUAAUUUGAAAGAUCAAAAUACCGUUUAUUAAAAAGUGAAAUUCAUUUUUAAUGAAACAUCUAAAUAUCAAAUGUCAAAAUAGCAAAAAUUGGUUAUCAUCAUUUAAUUUUUCCUAUUUAAUAAUAAUUAUUAUUAUACUAUUAAAAAAACUCUAUAUUAAUGAGGAAGUUGUAAUAUAACAAUUAUCUUACAAUCAUAAUAAUAUUCUCAACAAAAUUAUUAAUUUUAAAUUUAAAACUCAAACAAUUUAGUUUAAGAAACAAUUCUAUAAAAAAAAAAUUAUCAUAUUUUAUAGUUCAAAUCAAUAUGGAAUCCAUACCAAUACUAAAUUACAAAAUUUAGGUGUUAUCAUAUAAUAUUCUUUAUUAAAUAAUUGUUAUUUAUUAUAGUACUAUGAAAGGACUUUAAAAUCGACCGGGACUUUGUAAUAUAAUCAUUAUUACUACCAACAGACUGCAUUGCCAACAAAAUUAUUUUUUUUAAAAAAAAUUCAUAAAAUUUAAUUUAAGAAAAAGUUGUAUUAAUUAUUGUACUCCCUCUGUUUUUUAAUAUUUGACGCUUUGACUUUGAGCACGUACUUUUAAAUGUUUUGACUGAAUAGUUAAAAAUAUUAUUUUUUAAAUUUUCUUUUUCUGAAUAAAAAUAUAUAAUCAAAAUUUUAAUUUACAAAAGAAAUCAAUCAAAAUAAUAAUUUUUACUUUUUGAUCAACCCACCUGAAAAUAUGUGUCAAAAGUCAAAAUUUCAAAUAAUUAAAAACAGAGGGAAUAAUAUAUAAUAAUUUAAUUUAGGAAACUAUACUGCUACUCAUGAAAUGUAUAGCUAGCAACCAAAACGCAAGACAAAGUUUGGUAAAGUAGCAACUUAUAAAAUGCAGCAACUUUGGUACUCCUGUAUACUGCUACAUAAUGGUCUACCGGAGCUUGUAUUACUGAACCGUCAUACAUAUACAUACCUUGUAUCCAUUGCAAUCAUUCAAGCAAUAGAAUAUAGCAUAUAUACCGCGUUAAUGAUGCCUGUUGCUGGUUUCUGCAAACGUUGGAAUGUUCAUAAUUACUCUCCUUUCUCUAAAUUGUAACGGUACCAACUCAACAAUCCAGCCAGCUGUUAACAAAAUAAACACGCAUUUAGUUUUUUCUUAAACUUAUACAUUGUCCAUCCUGUGUCUGGCUCUGCGGUGCUUCCUUUUGUAGUAUAGUCAAACAACUUCCACCUAUUAUAAGUAUCAACCAUUUCAUUCUUACCUCAACCAUCACUCUUAACCUAAUAAUACUUUCAAUUUGAUUACACUCUCUCGUUUUUUCAUUUAUCCAAGCCCAGUGAAGUCUUCUUUCUGUCCGAGUGCUAAUUGUAACAUGUCUACCUUCAUUUCAGUGCUUCUUUUACUUUCUUUUCUCAUGAGCACCCAUGCUCCACAGGCAGCUGCUGAUUUCUACAAAGACGCAGAAAUUACUUGGGGUGAUCAGCGCGCCAAGAUACUCAAUGCUGGUAGCGACCUUACUUUGUCUCUCGACCAAGCUUCUGGCUCAGGCUUCCAAUCCAAGAAUGACUACUUGUUUGGAAGAUUCGAUAAUCGAUAUGCAACUCAAGCUCGUCCCUGGAAACUCUGCUGGAACUGUUACUACAUUUUAUGUUAGUAACCUUACAAAACAUUUUAUCGUAUUCAUGCACUAUAUGAUCUUUAGUUAACAAAGCUAUUUUUAUGCCUAAUAUCUAUUUAUAUCAUGUACUCGCAGCUAUCUUCUCAAGGAGCUGGACAUGAUGAGAUUGACUUUGAGUUUCUGGGAAACUCAUCAGGAAGUCCAUAUACAAUUCAUACAAAUGUGUUUGCGCAAGGCAAAGGUGACAAAGAACAACAAUUCCAGCUCUGGUUCGAUCCCACUUCUUCCUUCCACACCUACUCCAUUGUUUGGAAUCCCCAAAGGAUUAUGUAAGUAGACCUUUUUUACGUGACAUAUAACUUUCCUUUUUUAGAAAAACCAAAUUACGAAUUCUACUGCAAUUACUUUUGCUGACAAUAUCAAUUUUUUGGCCUUCAGUUUCUUGGUGGAUAACAACCCGAUCAGAGUAUUCAACAAUCAGGAAUCAAUAGGGGUGCCCUUCCCCAAGAGCCAGCACAUGAGAGUCUAUGCCAGCUUAUGGAAUGCUGAUGACUGGGCAACUGAUCAAGGCGGGCGUGUCAAGACCGACUGGACUAAAGCUCCAUUCACAGCCUACUACAGGAACUUCAACAUAAAAGGGUGUCCCAAAUAAUCUCCCGGAUCAUCAUCUUGUGGAUCAGGGCCGUCUGAAACUUUUCUGAGGCCCCGUGCUGAUUUUAAGAAUGAGACCCUUCCAAAUGACAAAACAAAAUUUUAAUAUAUUUAAAAUAACAUGAUAUCAUAAGCAAAAUUAGACUACUACAACUGAAAAAUUGUUUUUUUUAAGUAGUUAGACUUAAAUAUGUGUGUGGCCGUGUGGGAUUUACUGUUUGUGCAGUCUACUAGUUUGUGAGUAAGGAGAAGGAAUAAGAAGAAACGUGCAUGGCUGGGUCUUGGGAGUCGAGAAUUGAUUAGUGUUUAAAUAAAAUAAUGGUAAAAAUUAAAGAGAUAUUAAUAUCAUAUUAUAUUUAUCAUGAGUAUACCAAAAGAUAGAAAGAAGAAGUAAUAAAUUGGGGGCCCUAAAUUUUCAUGGGCCCUGUGCUGUUGCACUUGUUGCACUCCCUCAAAACCGACCCUGUUGUGGAUCAUCCACCGCUUCUUCAAGCACCAUCGAGGGAUGGAGAACACACGAGCUGGAUGCAGCUGGCCGAAACAGACUCCGAUGGGUACAAUCAAAGCAUAUGGUGUACAACUACUGCUCUGACAAACAGAGGUUUGCUAAUGCUGUCCCAGCUGAAUGCAGGCGUUCAAGAUUUCUCUAGACGACACAACCAUGAUUUUGAUGUCUGGUUUUGUGAUCAGCUUAUUGUGUAAUUCCAACAAAUAAAUAUAUUCUUUAUUCUUUGUAAUUGAAUUUCUGUUUUUUUUUAAUUCAAAUGUUAAAUAAAUCCGGUCACUUGAUUAUAUAUCAGAGAUCAACCAAUAAAAACGAAAAGUUCAUUUUAAUUUACUCCCAAAUUUUCAGCUUCUGUACCUUCAGAGCACUGAAAUAUACUUAAUUUUGUCGCAGCUGCAUUUUACCGAAAACAGGUACCGAUCAGCUUCAGUAUCUCGACUGAUCUUAGAUAUCUAAGCAUUAAAAGUCGGCAGACAAGAGAAACAUUUCACGUAUGGCUAAGUAGACCAGUUGAAAAACUGAAUAAUCGUAAACUGGGAAUAUAAAGAAUCAGUAUUGAAAAAGAAAUCGGAACCCGUGUUAAAAAAAACAAACAGAGAUGUGAUCAACGGCCAAGACACUGUUAACUUCAAUCACAAUAAAUAUUGAAUUCUGAGACUCAAAUUAUAUCUCUAGUAAUCGAACAUUGAAUUUAAUAUUUAUAUUAAAUAUCAGACUCAAUUUUAUGCAUGUACCCACUAUUUUUGUAAAAAUCAGUAAGAGUAUUUCCAACCCUCACAAGCCCUUAGCUAAAAGUCCAUGUGGCUUUCCAAAAUUAAAUUUUAUAAUCAAUGUUUACAAAAAAUAAACUCCAACCACAGCAACCCUUGUGUAUAAUUAUAGCCAUCCCCUUGACUAUAUUUGUCGAUUCACUACAGAUAUGUAGCGAAUUUCACUUCAAAAACAUCUCUGAACAGGGUUCUAGCACCAUGCCAAAUAUGUCCAAAGAAGAAGAGCAAAGCAAAAGAAGCAUGUCCAAAAGUAAACCAACCCCUUGGACUGCUACGAAAAACACCAUCGGAUUUCAAAGUAGCACGAUCUAAUUCAAAAAUUUCACCCAAUUGAGCGCGUCUAGCAUAUUUUUUCACAGUAGCAGGAUCACUAUAACUGACUCCGUUGAGUUCGCCACCGUAGAACUCAACAGUUACACCUACUUGUUCGACACUAUACUUCGAUUAUCUCUCGCAAUUUAUUUUCCUCUUUCCCACUGAUUACAUAUUAUUUAUUACCAUAUUAAGCUGAUAUAUUCUAUUUAUAAUAAUCUAAAUAUUAAUAACAUACUAUUUUUAAAUUAUAACCAAUAUAGCCAAUACCAUUAAAGCACAAUGUCUUACAGGUUCGGCAAAUUUUACAUAAUAUCACUACGCCAUAUAUGGCCUACGACAACAUCAAAAAAAUGAUGCCAUAACCCCAAAAUAUGUUGCCAUAGCCCGAAAAAGGGCUAUUGCAACAUAAAAUUUAAGUUGCACUUUUGCAUGCUGCCUUAGGCUUCUAUUGCAACAUUUAGGUAACCUACUGCAACACGGCUUUUUAUGUUACAAUAGACGUUCUAUUGCAACAUCUGACUAUCCUAUAGCAACAAAUAUAUUAUGUUACAUUACACCUUUUGAUUUGAAAAGAAAAAGGGGGACCCACAUGUGGGUCACACUUGUAGGUCCCACUUUUUGAGUCCACGUGGAUCCCACAUGUGGGUCCCACAUGUUAGUCCCAUGUUUGGACACCUAUUUUGUAGUCCCAUGUUUGCAACAAAUUUAUAAAAGAAAUUUAAAAUAUGCUCUUUAAAUAUUAAACAUUCCAAUAAACUAUUCUUUCUUACAAAUUUCAUAACAAAUCCAACCAAAUCAAAUUACCUAACAAUUCAAAACCAACUAAAAGUAACAACAAUUAGCCUGUGCUCUCUAGCCUUUUCUCUAAAAUACACCCUUCUCCAUACGUAAAUGAAGUGCAGGAUAUGUGAUUCCAAAGCUGUGACGAUAGGAGUCAUCUGUUCCACUAGCAAGAAACCCAAGCCUAGUGAAAUCCUUGAGCCAUUUCCACAUAAUCUUCAUUAACAGCAUGGACCGCAGCAUCAAAAAAAAAUUUGUAUAUUUUGCUGGAUGGAGAAACAAAAGCAAUUAAUAUAAAUACUUAAUUAAUAUCACAAUCAAUAUACUUGGAACAAAUAUUUUAGAAAGCCCAGGUCGUUUUUACUUGCGCGUAAACACAAUCAAUGACACAAGUGAAGAGAGUCAGAUAUUCACUAUAGAGAGAUACUCGAGUAAAUCACACUGUAACUUUAACAUACUUCACAUUAGCAAAGACAGGGGUUUCAAAAAUUAAAGUCUCGUAUGCUGCAUUGCUUACUGAGUAUUAUCACAUUUAACUAUACAAAUGAGCUAGACAAUCAAUUUGUAUAAGGACUUCAUUUAAAAUACUAAACAAAACCUUCUGAUUAAUCAAUAAUCGCAUAUUACUCAUAGAACAGGAAGGCGGCUAGAAAUUCAUUCAAAAGACACAAAGGUUAAAUGUAUACAGAAGAAAACUCGGUAUUUUGAUGGAUUUUAUUAGGUUUAGGAGUACUUUUUAUCAAAAGCACAUACUCCAGCUCUGUAGUUAUCAAAAAUACCCUAUAAUUCUGUAUAAACAAAUAAAGUUGUGUUACAUUGAGCAAUAUAGGAAUUAGAGGGGCAUUUUACAUGAUAAAUAUAGUAUAAGAUGAUUACCUCAACCCCACGAGAGCAGUAGGCAAACUAAUCUGACUCCUUCCUGGCUUUAGCUUCACUAGGGUCUCAAAAGCUUAAUUAUUAACAUCAUAUUUAGCCAGAAAACAACUUCUUACAUAGUAAAUCUUUACUACUAAUAAUUAUCAAGUCAGGGGAAGAACAAUAAUACAAUACAAGUUUACAACAUCAGGGGAAGAACGAUGCCGGCUCUGUAAACAGAGAGUUCAAAUCAUAUGGCAGAUAUAUACAACAAAAAAAGAACCAGUGCUUUCUAGAAAAACUACGUGCAACAUUAUACUGAUUCCUGAACAAAUCAACUCAACAAGUCAAAUGCCUAUAAAAAAUUACAACAUUCAAGACAAACUAUAAAAUCAGAAUGUUCCCAUUAGAGUUAAGAGAGAGGGAGGGAGAGACAGAGGGGAGACAGAGACACACACAGAGAGAGAAGGAGAGAGAGGGAGACAGAGAGAUGUGUAACAUAACAUACGACCACAAAUCAAAACAAAGAUAGACAAUGCAUUUACACAUAAAAUCUAAAACAAAGCAUGUGUAUUUAAAGUGAAAAGCAAAGGAUGACCACAAAUCUAAGCAGAUCGAAACCCCAAUUAAAGUGAAAAGCUGUUGAAGCCCUAGUUUCAGAAGCCCCAAUUCCCAAUUCAAUCGAAGCCCUGAGAAAAAUAACGACACAAAAUUAAAAAUAUUUUAGUGAUAAAAACGAAGAAACUCGUAAACAAAUUUAAUGAAACUAUAAAUCAGAAGCCCUGAUUUCGCGGAAUAAAGAACCUCUCAAUAAAAUCCCUAAUUGAAGACCUGAAACAAAACUUUAUUCGAUUGAGAGGUGAGUAUGAGGGGAGAGGUUCCCCGAUUUUUUCUAAUCGACGGUGCGUUUCAGCAGGGAGGUGAGAGGAGAUGAGGAUGAGCAGAGAGGUUUAGCAAGAGAGGUGAGGUGAGGUUAGGUGAGUGUAGAGAGUGAGGUGAGUGUUUGUUGAGUGAAAUGUGAAUAUGUCUGAGUCUCUGACUCAAAUGUGAAGCGGGAAGUUUGCCGCUCAUAUUUUUAGCACGCCCCCAAAAAUAUUUUUUGUUUAUUUUUUGUUUUAAUAAUUCAUUUUAUUUUCAAUUUCUUAAUUGUUAAAUAUAUAAAUAUUUUAUAUAUUUUAUAAUUUUAAUGAUAUACUUCAGUUACGGUGUUAUUUUUUUAUACAUAAUUAAUUAGGUUCAUAUUUUGUUAUUUAAUUAUUUUAAAGAGAUGACAUAAAAAUAAUAUUGUAUUCCAAAAUUAUGUUUAUUCAUGUUUAAUAUAUUCUAUUUUAUUAAUUAAUCAUUUGAAUGUAUUUUAGCUUUAUUUUGUGCAAAUUUUAGUAUUACAAAUAAUUAUUUUACUAAUACUCUUUGCAACACAUAAUUUUGGCUAUUGCAACAUCAAAUAGACAUGAAUGUUUAUCGUUGCGAUAGGUGUCGAUUAGUGUCUCUAAUGCAACAUAAUUUUGCAACACUCGCGUUCAUACCAUUGCGGUAGGCCAUAUAUGGCGUAGUGUAUUUUACAGGUUCGGCAAAUUUUACAUAAUGUCUUACAGAUCCAAUUUAGCCAACGAUUAUAGCGAACGCCAUCGGAGAUGCUCUAACUGUCGUACAAGUUGACAUGUCAUCGAAAUACAAAAACUUAAAUUUUUUACAUAAUUUGCAUACUAAGAUGCUAUAAUCAUUUUACAUAUUUUACAUACGGAAGGAAAAAAUAAACUGGAGAAAAUGUAGCGAAAUAUAUUCGUUUAGAAAAACUCAAUUAUGAUACUCAAAUUAUAUCUUUAGUAGUCGAAUAUUGAAUUUAACAUUAUUAUUAAAUUAUCAAAUUGAAUUUUAUACAUGUAGAACUAUUCUUGCAGAAAUCAAGAACCGUCAUACAAGUUGAGGUGUUAUCGAAAUACAAAAACUUAAAACUUUUACAUAAUCUACAUACGUAAGAUUCUAGAAUCAUUUUAACAGUGUCAUUGAAGAUGCUAUAAUAUUUCCUUUGUCGGAUUCAUACUUGUACGUGUAACUUUAGAAAGUAAAAGAAAAAACGUGAGGAAAUGUAGCUAAACAUGUUAGUUCAAAAAAACUCCAUAAAUUACAUCUUUAGUCGUCGAAUAUUGAAUUUAAUAUUAACUUUGAGGUGUAGAGUAAUUUACAUGUCAUUUCAUUCACUCUUUCGUAUGACCAGAGUAGUCGAAUAUUGAAUUUACUCCCUCCAUCCCAAUUUAUAUGAGCUUUUUCCUCAUUUUACACAGGAAUAUUAAAUGAUGUUUAUUUUUUCAUUUCUGCUCAUAUUCAUUGUGUUGACUUUAUACUAAUAUUAGUUGGAUGGUACAUUGGAAAUAAUAAAUAAGAAAGAAUAAGAGUGAAAGAUUAUUGAUAAAUGUACAUUAAAAAAAAAGAGGCUCAACUAUUUUGGGAUAAAUUUUUUUAUCAAAAAAACUCGAUGAAGAGAGUACAUGUCUAUUUACAUGUUUGUUAGAUAUUGACUUUUGUAGUUCCAAAAGAUCGAUGCAAUUAUUAAGUUCAAAGCGACUCAAGUUUCUAUAUAAAGUACUCUAUAAACAGGGUGUGAGAACUCCCAAUUCUAUCAUAACUUGAGCAUUAUUAGCAUCUCUUACACUUGUUAAGCCACCACCCACUGCUAUGCAUACUACUCGUAGCCACUGCGCUAGUAAUGAUACUGUAUUAGUGAGUAAUGUUACUGCACUAGUGAGUAAUGAUACUGCAUGUGUCGAUGAUAAAUCAAUUGUUCGUAGAUCGGGCAAUUAUCCUCCUCCAAUCUGGGAUGAUGAUUUCGUGCAAUCUCUUACCAGUGAUUUUAAGGUAGAAUCAUGUUUCUUUAGUGUGUGUGUGUGUAGUGUAUAAUUAUUCUUACCACUUGACAUAAUGCAUACGCAGGGAGAAAUAUGGAACAAAUAUGCAGGGGACUUGAAGGAACGUGUGAGGAUGCUGCUCAACAAAGAAGAUACAGACAACCUCAAGAAACUUGAGUUAGUUGAUUCAGUUCAGAGGCUUGGAGUGGGAUAUCACUUCAAGAAUGAGAUUAAUAGAAUUCUGGAAGCCGUGUACAAUAAUGAUAAGUGGGACGGCAAAGAUAAUUUGCAUGCCACAUCUCUCAAAUUCCGACUCUUAAGACAACAUUAUUUUGAAGUUCCUCAAGGUGAGUUCAUCUACUCUGUUGUCAGUAUGUUGUUCUUUAGGUACAUAUGCAUGCAAAUAGAUGACAUGCGUCUGAUAUUGGAACUUCUUUGACUGCAAAAUGCAGAGGCUUUUAGUGGAUUUAUGAACAAUCAGGUAAGUUCAAGAUCAGUCUCACCAGUGACAUGAAGGGUAUGCCAUACUUGUACGAGGCCUCGUACCAUUCAAAAACGAAUGAGAAGAUAUUGGACGAGGCACAACGUUUCACAACCAAACAUAUGACAGAUUACGUAAAUAAUACUCCCUCUGUUUUUUUUAUAUGACGCUUUGACUUUUGGCACACACUUUUAAGUGCUUUGACCGGAUAGUUAAAAAUAUUAUUUUUUGAAUUUUCUUUUUCUGAAUAAAAAUUUUAAUUAUAUACUAUUAUUCAGAAAAAGAAAUUUUAAAAAAUAAUAUUUUUAACUAUCCGGUCAAAGCACUUAAAAGUGUGUGUCAAAAGUCAAAGCGUCAUAUAAAAAAAACAGAGGGAGUAGUAAGAACAGUAAAGACGAGAAACUUGGUAAACUUAUUAGCCGUGCUUUGGAACUUCCACUGCAUUGGACGGAGUCAAGAAUGGAAGCAAGGUGGUACACUGACUACUUUGAGACAUCAAUAGUAGCAGAAGAUAUAAAUGAUUCUGAUUUGCUUCGUUUUGCCAAAUUGGACUAUAACAUGCUCCAGGCAAAUUAUCAAGAUGAACUCAAAGAAUUGUCAAGGUAUUGAUUAGCAGCUAUAAUCUCGUUUUUCCUUAACCGGUAAACUCUUUGUUUUAGAACUGUGCAGAUUAUUGUUAUUUGUGUGCAGAUGGUGGAAGCGCAUACAAUGGGCAGAGAAAUUUAGCUUUGCGAGGGGAAGGUUGAUAGAGUGUUUCUACUGGAGCCUGGGUUGCAACUUUGGACCUGAGUUUAAAUAUGCAAGGAGUGUGCUAGCUGCUGUUGGUGCCUUCCUAACUACUAUUGACGAUAUCUAUGAUGUAUAUGGUACUUUGGAGGAACUUGAAUUGUUGACAAAAUUAACAAAAAGGUUAAUCACAUGUAUUAUAUAAACUCAAAACUUAUUAUUAUUCUUAUUAAUAUAUUGUUGGGAUACUGAUACAUAUAUUGUCUGCGGUCACUUGAUUAGUUGGGAUGCGGCAGACUUGGAUCAACCAGGGCCUUGACAGACUCAUUUUCUUCUCAAAUCUCAUCGUAACAAUCUUGCACUCAAUUCUUUCCAAAACUUUUUCCUACCUCUAUUAUUUUUAUAUAUUUUAAUUAUUUCAUUUCAUUCUCCACAACCAAACACAACAAGAUUUAGAUGCUAAGAGUAAAAAAAAUUCUUGUUAUUAGACUGUUAGUUAAAGAAUAAAAAUAACAGUAGUUUAGCUUAAGUGUGAAGUUCAAUGGAUGCCAUUGUACAACAUGGUAACUAAGAAAUCAUUUAUGUGUUGCAGUAUAAAAUAUUUAUAACACCUUAGUCCCAUAUAGAAGAGUAUGGAGAUUUUAAUUCAAUUUAUAAAUAUAAAUAUUAGUACAAAUAUUACUUUAAUUGAGUACCAUCGAUUCCAUAGAGCCCAACCCUGGUUUUGUAAUUGUAUACUGCUGACUAAUUAUAUCAUGAGUUCAGGCCUCAGCUGUCUUCUUUUUACUGACCAUUUUUUUAUUUCCGGGAAUAUUAAUGACAGACCAUGUCCUGUCCUUGCGUGUUUGGCUGUGAUCGAUCAUAUCUAGGGCUGUAAACGAACCGAGCCGAAUCGAGUUCUAUCGAAUUCGAGUCCGAGUCGAGCUAAAGCUCGUUAAGCUUAUCGAGCCGGAAAUUUGGUUCGAACUCGAGUUCGGUAUCAACCGAGUCGAGUAUCGAGUUUUCAGCGAACUUGCGAGUCGAACCCGAGCUCGAGUCGGACCCGAGCUUUCAGUUAAAAUUUUUGUUUUUAAUAUGAAUUUGGGCCUCAACCAGUCAGCCCAUUACAUUUUACAAACCCAUAUGUUUGUUUGUUUGAGAUAAGCCCAACCAUUUAACCUAAAACUAAAAUUUAAAAACAUUUAGCAAAAAAAAAAUAAAAAUUAAAAACUAAAAACUAAUUAACAAAGAAAGUAGAUUAGUCUAUGGUGUGCCCAUGGGCACAUGCUAAGCGCGGAAAAUUUUGGGCUUGGAUCAUUUUGAUUGGCUCCUAUCUCAUGAUAAUGGUGGACCCCCUGCAAAUACACCAACCACACCAAUCAAAAUCUCCCAAAUACAAAAAUUUCCGCGCUUAGCAUGUGCCCAUGGGCACACACUAGCCAAACCGAAAUACUAAAAUCUAAAUCUAAAUGAUUAAAUCCCCAAUUCCCAAAUCGACUCAAACCUAAACCCAUAUCACAACUAUCGCCGCUCCGCUCUCAAGCACUGCCCACUUCCAAUCAACCCCAACGGCCACCGACCCAUCGUCAAUCCACCACUGAUAUGCAGAUGUGAAAUGGCCUGUUGCUGCCUUGCUCGGAACUGGGAUGAACUGUCCACUGAUUUGCUGUGAUUCUGUGAAUCCAUGAUAAUGGCCACCAUUAUUUGUUGACUUGUGCUGUUAUACAGAUUCACAAGUGCUACUAGUUCACUACUUUAAUGUAUUUAAAUUUCUUUUGGUUUGUAUUGGAAGCUUAUAUAAUAGAUCAGUAGAUAAGAAGUUCUAUUAUUAAUUUAUUAUUAUUUAUUUUAAUUAUGUACCAGUUUAUCGAGUUGAGUAUCGAGUCGAACGAGUCGAACACGAGUUCGAGUCUAUACCGAGUCGAGUCGAGCAACUACAAAACUCGAAUCGACUCGUUAAGCUUAUCGAGCUGCUUUGGUUGUUCAAACUCGAGCUCGUUAACGAGCCGAGCCGAGCCGGCCUAACGAUCAGCUCGGUUCGUUUACAGCCCUAAAUUCAUAUCUUUUUGUUUCUUCCUCACUGGUUUCGAUUUCUUUACAGUGCCAGUUCUCUCUUUAGUUUUUUUUAACUGAUUUAUUUCAGCAUACACGUGAAGUUUUGCUCCCUGCCGUGUUUUCAUUAUCUGACAUCAGUUGAGAUAUAUGACAUGUUUGCUACAUGUUUAGGAUGUGAAAUAUAAAUGUGCAUGCAGUUAUUUAAUAUUAUUUUAGUUGAAAAACUGAAAUAUAAUUACAAAGAAUAAAGAAUGUAUUUGUCUGAAUCACAAAAAUUUGAUGUGCAAGUAGUCCUCGAGAUCUUUGGUGUGUGAUCUAUAUUGAGGGACCACAUGCAAUAUUAAACCAUGAAUAUGGUUAGCUGUCAGUAGUUAGGACAAAAGUUGUUAUCAGGACCGUUUGCUUUAUUUUGUCAGCUAGUAUUCUGUCUCCUCAUAGCUUGCUUUAUAUGAGAAGAACUACCAAUGUAUUGCCUCAAGUUUUUAUGCAAUGAUAACAAAUAUUCCUGUUUUUCUCUCUAUGAAUCCUUUAUUUUUGUGCCAUCAGUCACUUUCUCUAGCUUGAAAUUCCAUUGUCAUCAUGGUAUCAGAGCUGUCUUUCCUGCCGGUUACUUCUUCUUCACUCACUUUCUACUUUCUCUGCUAAUCCCCUCUCUUACAUCUAUUUCUAUACCAGAUCUUCUUCUUCUAUAUCUCUCAUCAUGUCUUCUCAAUCAAGAUAUUCUUUUCAAGAUAUGCUCAAUCCUCUCUUCCUCCACCCUUCUGAUACUGCAACCUCCAUUCAAGUGGAAAAGCUGCAAGGCUCAGCUGAUUAUCGCUCCUGGUGUCGCUCCAUGGAGAUAAAUCUAGCCUCCAAACGCAAACUCGGGUUUGUCACUGGUACUGUGACCAAACCAGUAGAUGAUGAACUCAAAGCUGAAAUGUGGGACACAUGCAACAACAUGGUCAUAGCCUGGAUUACAGGUAAUGUGUCUCCCACAGUUCGUAAAUCCAUUAUGUUUAUGUCUGAUGCUUGUGAAAUGUGGAAAAAUCUUGAAAAAAGAUUUACACUCACCAAUGGCUCUCGAAAGUACAAGCUAAACAAAGACCUCUAUGAAGUCAGGCAACACACUGCCUCAAUUAAUGAAUACUACACAACAAUGAAAACGUUGUGGGAAGAGCUUGAUUCAAUGAACUUGCUCCCAACAAUCUUGAGCCCCACUGAAGAAAUCACUAAACUGCUUCAAACUAUCGAGCUGCAGAAAGAUGAGGCACAUUUGUUCCAAUUUCUAAAUGGUGUCAAUGAAGUAUAUGGACCACAGCGUAGCCAGCUGUUAAUGUUGAACCCACUUCCCAGUGUAGAAGUAGCAGUCGCUGUGCUGCAACAAGAAGAGGCUCAAAGAAGUCUCCUCUCCUCUGUUCUACCAGAUCUGGAACUCUCAGCCAUGUACAGCAAGAGUGUGCCAGCCUCCCAACCUGAAAAACCCCUUCUUUGCUCUGCCUGUAAUGUUAAAGGCCACUCUAAAGAGCGUUGCUGGACUGUCAUUGGAUACCCAAAGUGGCAUCCAAAGUACAAGCCCCCCAUGAACAAUACCAAAAUUAAACCAGCAACAACACCUUCACCACACAAAUGGUCCUCCACACCAAAAAUGGCAGCUGCUGCAACUGUAAGCUCUGCUUCUCCUGGUCUCUUAUUCACCCCACAACAACUCGAGCAACUGGCUCAGUUAGUGCCUCACCUGCAAAAUCAAACCAUGAAAACUGCUGAAACAGAGGAAGAUGCACCUUAUCAUUUCUCUGGUAUGAUCUCCACAAUGACUUCAACUAAAUCAGCUGAGGAAUGGAUAAUAGAUUCCGGAGCCUCCGACCACAUGACACCACAUCUCAAACUUCUUCACAAAGCAACUCCAACUGGACAUUCACCUCUCAUAAAUCUGCCAAAUGGGGAUACCACUGUCAUUUCUCACAAAGGUAUGGCCACUCUGCCAAAUGGUCUCAAACUUGAAGAUAUAUUGUGUGUUCCUAAUUUUAAACACAAUUUAUUAUCUGUUCAAAAGUUAGUCAAAGAUAAUGCUUGUCAAGUUCAGUUUUUUCCUAAACACUGCUGCAUCAUAGACACUGUUUCAAAUAAAGUGCUUGGGGUAGGACAUGCUAAAGAUGGCCUAUAUUAUUAUACUCCUGCUGCAAACAUAUCUCUCCCUCUACAAACCUUUACACAUCAAACCAACUCUGCUCAAUCAACUCACUCCAUAGACCUCUGGCACUGCAGAUUAGGCCAUGCUCCUGUACCUAAAAUCACUAAAAUCUCUAGCAUUAAAGCCUCUUCCAAACAGCUUUCCUCUUUGUGUCUAACCUGUCCUCUAGCUAGAUUCACAAAACUACCCUUCUCACUGAGUACAUCACAUGCAAAAUCAGCUUUUGACUUGGUGCACAUAGACUUGUGGGGACCUUACAAAGAAUGCACCAAAAGCACUUGUAGGUAUUUCUUGACAAUAGUUGAUGAUUAUUCACGAUAUACUUGGUUAUAUCUAUUGUCCAACAAGUCUGAUUCUCUGCCAAUCUUGAAGACAUUUGUCCAGUUCAUUAAAAAUCAUUUCAGUGGUGCUUCAAUCAAAGUCAUACGAUCUGAUAAUGGUUUAGAAUUUGACAACAUUAUGUGCAAGCAGUUUUUUGCCAACAAUGGCAUUCUCCACCAGACCUCGUGUCCAUAUCGUCCACAGCAAAAUGGACGGGUCGAGCGGAAGCAUCGAUUUAUUUUAGAAGUGGCACGGGCUCUUAAAUUUCAGUCAAAUGCUCCCAUACAUUUGUGGGGAGACUGCGUUUUGACAGCAGUCUACAUUAUUAAUCGCCUUCCUACUUCGCUCCUGGACAACAAAACACCCUACGAGGUGUUUUACAAAGAGCUUCCUGACUAUGAGUCUAUGAGAGUGUUUGGGUGCUUGGCUGUUGCUACAAAUCCUGUAGUUACACAUGACAAAUUUGCAGCCAGAGGGGUUACAUGUGUAUUUGUGGGCUAUCCUCCUAUGAAGAAGGGAUUUCGUUUGAUAAAUCUUGAAACAAUGAAAGAAUUCAACUCCAGAGAUGUCAAAUUUCACGAAGAUAUCUUUCCCUUUAAAACAAGCUCUUUCUCUCCUAUGACACCAUUGACUGAUCCAGCCAAUGAUCCUCAGUUCUUGACAUCCAUAUUCUCUGAUGAAGAAUAUGUCUCUGAAUUACCCAGAUCUCCAUCUCCCGAGAGAGUUCAAUCUUCUUCAUCAGAUGAUGAUACUGAGAUGGAUACCAACUUAAAUGUCAGAAGAUCCACAAGACUCCAUCGUCCCCCACAGUGGCAUAAUGACUAUGUCGCCAACUGUACCACUCAGACCAUCUCUACUGUGACUGACACUGCAGUCAACAACAAUUUUCAUUGCCUCCUAGCCACUCUUGCUACUACAAAAGAUCCAGUAUCGUUUAAAGUCGCAGUACAAGAGCCACACUGGGUGUCAGCUAUGAAUGCUGAGCUCGAAGCACUGGAGCGAAAUGGAACAUGGAUUGUCACUACACUUCCUCCGGGUAAAACUGCCAUCGCUUGCAAAUGGGUGCAUAAAACGAAGUUCAAUCCAGACGGAACCAUAGAGCGAUAUAAGUCCCGUUUAGUCAUUUUGGGCUGUCGACAAAAAUAUGGUGAGGAUUUUAAAGAAACAUUCGCUCCAGUCGCGAAAAUGACAACGGUUCGCACAUUGCUUGCUGUCGCAGCAAUUCAGAAUUGGUACACAUUGCAGAUGGACGUGUCAAAUGCGUUCCUGAAUGGGGAACUCUUUGAGGAUAUAUACAUGAAACUGCCACCCGGUUAUAUGCACUUUGGUUAUCGAAUCAAGUUGAAUGAUGCUGCUCAAGGUCCUUCACACUGCAACUAUGUCUGCAAGCUUCUAAAAGCCUUGUAUGGGCUAAGACAGGCGCCACGAUUGUGGUUCUCUAAACUCUCUCUCACACUGCUUGCUCUUGGGUUCAAGCAAUCGAAAUCAGAUUACAGCCUGUUCCUGAAACAACAGCCAUCAUCCACCCUUACUGUUCUUGUUUAUGUUGACGACCUUCUCAUUUGUGGCUCUGCUAUGAAAGAUAUUGAUAACCUGAAAGCAAUGUUGUCUGCUCAAUUUCACAUGAAAGACCUUGGCCCUAUCAGCUAUUUUCUAGGCCUCGAAAUAGCUCGCUCUUCAUCUGGCUUCUUCAUCUCACAGAAAAAAUACACUCUUGAUCUCCUUACUCAACAUGGCCUGCUGAAUUGUAAACCUCUCUCUCUGCCUAUGGAUUCUCAUCUGAAAUUGACUCCAACCAUUGGUGAUCCUCUUCCUAAUCCACUACCAUACCAACGCCUGUUAGGACAACUUAUUUACCUCACAAUCACACGCCCUGAUAUCUCAUUUACAGUUCAUACUCUCAGCCAAUACAUGAAUGCUCCUACCACGGUUCAUUAUCAAGCUGCCAAGCGUCUUCUACGCUAUCUUGCUGGUUCUCCAGCUCAAGGUAUCCUCCUGGCAUCUUCUAGUGCGGCUCACCUCACUGCCUACUGCGACAGUGACUGGGCAAGCUGCCUUGCUACUCGCAAAUCCACCACGGGCUACUGCAUUUUGCUUGGGGAUUCACCCAUAUCCUGGAAAUCGAAGAAGCAAAGUGUAGUUGCUCGCUCUUCCGCUGAAGCCGAAUAUCGAGCAAUGGCAUUUACUACAUGUGAAGUCACCUGGUUAUCCUCCCUGCUAAAGGACUUGGGUCUCAAAGAUCUCCCUCCUGCCAACCUCAAAUGUGAUAAUAAAGCUGCUCUUGCCAUCGCUGCAAAUCCAGUGCAACACGAGCGCACUAAACAUGUGGAAAUCGACUGCCACUAUGUUCGUGAUCAACUCAACAAAGGCCUCCUUACAACUUCUCAUGUCUCAUCUUCUGAACAAAUAGCUGACUUGCUCACCAAAGUUCUGCCAGUCAAACAACACAAUCACUUGCUGCACAAGCUCGGAGCUUCCGCUUUCCCUCCAUCUCCAGCUUGAGGGGGAGUAUUGAGGGACCACAUGCAAUAUUAAACCAUGAAUAUGGUUAGCUGUCAGUAGUUAGGACAAAAGUUGUUAUCAGGACCGUUUGCUUUAUUUUGUCAGCUAGUAUUCUGUCUCCUCAUAGCUUGCUUUAUAUGAGAAGAACUACCAAUGUAUUGCCUCAAGUUUUUAUGCAAUGAUAACAAAUAUUCCUGUUUUUCUCUCUAUGAAUCCUUUAUUUUUGUGCCAUCAGUCACUUUCUCUAGCUUGAAAUUCCAUUGUCAUCAAUCUAGAGGAACCUUGAACGUUUGCAUUCUGCAGGGACAGCAUUAGCAAACCUCUGCUUGUCAGAGCAGUAGUUGUACACCAUAUGCUUUGAUUGUACCCAACGCAGUCUAUUUCGGCCAGCUGCAUCCAACUGGUGUGUUCGCCAUCCCUCGUCGGUGCUUGAAGAAGUUGAUGAUCCACAAGAUGAUGAUCCGGAAGAUGAUUUGGGACACCCUUUUAUAUUGAAGUUUCUGUAGUAGGCUGUGAAUGGAGCUUUAGUCCAGUCUGUCUUAACACGACCGCCUUGUGUUGCCCAGUCAUCAGCAUUCCAUAAGCUCGCAUAGACUCUCAUAUGCUGACUCUUGGGAAACGGCACCCCUAUUGAUUCCUGAUUGUUGAAUACUCUGAUCGGGUUGUUAUCCACCAAGAAACUGAAAGCAAAAAAAAAUUAAAAAUUGUCAGCAAAAGCAAUCAGAGUAGAAGCUGCAAUUUGGUACGAAAAUGGAAAGUUAUAAGUCCGGUGGAAAAGGUCUACUUACAUAAUCCUUUGGGGAUUCCAAACAAUGGAGUAGGUGUGGAAGGAAGAAGUGGGAUCGAACCAGAGCUGGAAUUGCUGUUCUUUGUCACCUUUGCCUUGUGCAAACACAUUCGUGUGGAUUGUAUAUGGACUUCCUGAAGAGUUCCCUAAAAACUCGAAGUCAAUCUCGUCAUGUCCGGCUCCUUGAGAAGAUAACUGCGCAACAUUAAAUAGAUGUCAGGCAUUUAGAUACCAUUGAUAACUAAGGACAGCAUAUAGUACAUCAAUACGAUAAAUUAUAAUGUAGGGAGUGACGUUACUGACAUAGAAGGUAGUAACAGUGCCAGCAGAGUUUCCAGGGACAAGCUUGAGUUGCAUAUCGAAUCUUCCAAACAAGUACUCAUUCUUGGAUUGAAACCCUGAGCCAGAAGCUUGGUCGAGAGACAAAGUGAGGUCCCGACCAGCAUUGAGUAUCUUGGCGCGCUGAUCACCCCAAGUGAUCUCCGCGUCUUUGUAGAAAUCAGCAGCUGCCUGUGGAGCUUGGCUGGUCAUGAGAACUGA